Molecule: ribosomal RNA, 433 nt
Filed under: uncultured bacterium
Lineage: Bacteria
Description: partial 16S ribosomal RNA
Rfam family: Bacterial small subunit ribosomal RNA
Source: RNAcentral
AACGAACGCUGGCGGCAUGCCUAACACAUGCAAGUCGAACGAGACCUUCGGGUCUAGUGGCGCACGGGUGCGUAACGCGUGGGAAUCUGCCCUUGGGUUCGGAAUAACAGUUGGAAACGACUGCUAAUACCGGAUGAUGACGUAAGUCCAAAGAUUUAUCGCCCAAGGAUGAGCCCGCGUAGGAUUAGCUAGUUGGUGAGGUAAAGGCUCACCAAGGCGACGAUCCUUAGCUGGUCUGAGAGGAUGAUCAGCCACACUGGGACUGAGACACGGCCCAGACUCCUACGGGAAGCAGCAGUGGGGAAUAUUGGACAAUGGGCGAAAGCCUGAUCCAGCAAUGCCGCGUGAGUGAUGGAGGCCUUAGGGUUGUAAAGCUCUUUUACCCGGGAUGAUAAUGACAGUACCGGGAGAAUAAGCUCCGGCUAACUCCGUG